GAACCGUCCAAACGUUAUUCGGAAUCACUGGGCUUAAAGGGUGCGUAGGCGGCCCGGGCAAGUUGGGGGUGUGAAAUCCCUCGGGCUCAACCGAGGAAUAGCGCCCAAAACUGCCGGACUUGAGGGAGACAGAGGUGAGUGGAACUAUGGGUGGAGCGGUGAAAUGCGUUGAUAUCCGUAGGAACACCGAUGGCGAAAGCGGCUCACUGGGUCUCUUCUGACGCUGAGGCACGAAAGCUAGGGGAGCGAACGGGAUUAGAUACCCCGGUAGUCCUAGCUGUAAACGGUGAGCACUAGAUCGUAGAGAUUUCCAUGUCUUUACGGUCGAACUGAAAAGGUUAAGUGCUCCGCCUGGGGAGUAUGGCCGCAAAGGCUG
Molecule: ribosomal RNA, 376 nt
Filed under: uncultured organism
Description: partial 16S ribosomal RNA
Rfam family: Bacterial small subunit ribosomal RNA
Source: RNAcentral